This 254-nucleotide ribosomal RNA is filed under the name uncultured bacterium. RNAcentral describes it as "partial 16S ribosomal RNA". It matches the Rfam family "Bacterial small subunit ribosomal RNA", at positions 524 to 776 of the family's 1533-position model. The record is from RNAcentral.
UACGAAGGGGGGCUAGCGUUGCUCGGAAUCACUGGGCGUAAAGCGCACGUAGGCGGAUUUUUAAGUCAGGGGUGAAAUCCUGGAGCUCAACUCCAGAACUGCCUUUGAUACUGGGAAUCUCGAGUCCGGAAGAGGUGAGUGGAACUGCGAGUGUAGAGGUGAAAUUCGUAGAUAUUAGGAAGAACACCGGUGGCGAAGGCGGCCCACUGGAUCGGUACUGACGCUGAGGUGCGAAAGCGUGGGGAGCAAACAGG